RNAcentral lists this ribosomal RNA (492 nucleotides) under uncultured bacterium. RNAcentral describes it as "partial 16S ribosomal RNA". It matches the Rfam family "Bacterial small subunit ribosomal RNA", at positions 29 to 507 of the family's 1533-position model. The record is from RNAcentral.
AGUGAACGCUGGCGGUAGGCCUAACACAUGCAAGUCGAACGGCAGCACAGUAAGAGCUUGCUCUUACGGGUGGCGAGUGGCGGACGGGUGAGGAAUACAUCGGAAUCUACUUUUUCGUGGGGGAUAACGUAGGGAAACUUACGCUAAUACCGCAUACGACCUACGGGUGAAAGCAGGGGAUCUUCGGACCUUGCGCGAUUGAAUGAGCCGAUGUCGGAUUAGCUAGUUGGCGGGGUAAAGGCCCACCAAGGCGACGAUCCGUAGCUGGUCUGAGAGGAUGAGCAGACACACUGGAACAGAGACACGGUCCAGACGCCUACGGGAGGCAGCAGUGGGGAAUAUUGGACAAUGGGCGCAAGCCUGAUCCAGCCAUACCGCGUGGGUGAAGAAGGCCUUCGGGUUGUAAAGCCCUUUUGUUGGGAAAGAAAAGCAGCAGGUUAAUACCCCGCUGUUCUGACGGUACCCAAAGAAUAAGCACCGGCUAACUUCGUG